Mycena alexandri is the source of this 91-nucleotide non-coding RNA. The record is from the annotation of a GenBank genome assembly. Lineage: Eukaryota; Fungi; Basidiomycota; Agaricomycetes; Agaricales; Mycenaceae.
GACCUGAUGGCACCAUGGUUAGUGCGUCUGCUCAACGUGUGGCAUUAGGCUGUGUAUGCAGAACAUCCCGGUUCGAAUCCGGGUCAGGCCA